GCCGCCGCCGCCGCCGCCGCUACUGCUGCUGGGGCCGCUGCUGGAGGGGUUCAGAGCCGGCCGCCCGCUAUCAGCGGCUCGGACUCUCCCCGGCUUUGGUGGUGCUAUUUAUUAGACAGCGGGGUGUGGAAGCGUCCUUCCCUAUUUCCGGACCUCCUGCCGCUGCUGCACUGAAUCAGGAAAGAGACCCAGACCGGCGGUUCUUCUCCAUUUAAUUAGAAUAGACCGAGAUGGAAGCUGGUAGGGGCCAUUAAGCGAAAUAAGAACGAAUUGGGAGGCAAAGCAAACGGAGGAGCAGAUCGGGUCCCACUUGGGGGCUCAGAGGAGGCUCUAAUCGUAAUGACGGAUAAGGACCUGCAGGGGGCGAUAGUAUCCAACGCAUGUGGGAGAACCUGACACCCUUGUUGACAGAUGCCUAUUAGUGUAAGACAUUGCAUGCUGGCCUCUGGGGUGUAUUAAAGGUAACCAGAUCUGAAACAUUGGUAAAAUGACCAUAUCUCAACUGCUCCUCAAACAGUUGGCACAUUUAUGCCGGAGUCAACUUUCCUCCCUCCCCCUUCCCUCAUUUGGUCUUUCUCUGCUUUGGGUGAUUGGUGAUGUUGCUCAAGUAUUCUUCAUUCCCUCCUGCUAAAAUGGGGAUAUUUGGGGGGGCAGAAAUAAAAAUACUGCUUGAAUAUAUUUUUUAAUACCCCAAGUAAUUUGUCAGAAAGAAAAUUCAUCUUUUGUUGUUUUUUUGGUUUCCUGGUAGAUUUGCCUUUGAUAAGCAUCUUUGCAAAAAAAAGAAAUGAGUAGCAAAGGCCCUUGCAUGUUCAUUUAAAGUGAAUGCUAAAAACGAACUUUCUUUUCCAUAAGUCAUUGUACACCUAAGAUUAAUUCUUUUUAGUUCAGCCAGGAAAUUUGACAUUGUCCCUGCUUUCUACAUAACUAAUAAAAUAAAUGUAAAAACUACCUUCUGACAUCAACAGCAUGAGGAAGAACUAAGGUCAAAGUAUUCUAAAUAUCUUAAAGGUACGAAGGGGGAUUUUUAUACAUACAUACAAACCUCUGGUUUUACUAGGGGGGGAAAGGGGAAGUAUGGCUUGGAUGGAGUAAGAAUGAGGAAGAAAAAAAAGGGAAAGGAGAGAGGACAGACAAAAAAGGGAGGAAAAAGAAAGAAUCCCUGACCAGGGCCUCCGACAUAGGGUAAUCUUUGGGCCAAUUGCCUGGACUUGGAUAUUGAGUCUUGGUGUUCGUUGGUUGGUUGUUUUCCCUCCUGUCCCUCUAGCUCUAAGACUUUGAUGUUUUCAUUUCCUAAUACAAGUAGCGCCCUCCUUCUUACUCAGACCAAGAGACUGGGCUGAUUAUCAUAGAAUGGUCACAUAGGGAAUCCUUUGGGGGUAAAGGGAAGCAGGGCAAACUCUUUUUAGUCUUUGGCUCUCCAAUUUCACCAUACACAUCGAAUUUAUGUAUAACAUUAACAAAUGUUGGGGAGGGGAGAGGGCCCCCCUCUCCCUUCUCUCUGAACUUUUUACUUUUGAGAAGUCUGCCUCAGGUCAGACCCUUUCCCAACCAAGACCCCCCCCCCCAAUCACCAUCCUUAUCCUUAAGUGGAAGAGAGUUAUGAAGGUCAGAUAAAGGAAGAUCGAAUUGGGAUGGGAAAUGUGAAUGAUCGAGGAUAAGAAGUUGAACGGAGCUCCCAGGAGACAAUAAGCAGAUGGAGAGCGAUAUGGGCAAAGCGGAACCCCAAGUCCAGGUUACUACCAACAACGA
Long non-coding RNA from Dromiciops gliroides (monito del monte), 1749 nucleotides. RefSeq lists it as uncharacterized. The record is from RefSeq and is a predicted model, not a curated record. Lineage: Eukaryota; Metazoa; Chordata; Mammalia; Microbiotheria; Microbiotheriidae. The transcript has 3 exons.